GAUAAACGCUGGCGGCGUGCAUGAGACAUGCAAGUCGAACGGACGAUCUCGGGCUUGCCUGGGAUCGUUAGUGGCGAACGGCUGAGUAACGCGUGGGUGACCUGCCUGGAAGUGGGGAAUAACUGCCCGAAAGGGUGGCUAAUACCGCAUGUGGCCAUACGUUCGGUCGUAUGACCAAAGCCGCAAGGCGCUUCCGGAGGGGCCUGCGUUCGAUUAGCUCGUUGGUGAGGUAACGGCUCACCAAGGCGACGAUCGAUAGGUGGUCUGAGAGGAUGAUCACCCAGACUGGGACUGAGACACGGCCCAGACUCCUACGGGAGGCAG
This 324-nucleotide ribosomal RNA is filed under the name uncultured Chloroflexota bacterium. RNAcentral describes it as "bacterial SSU rRNA". It matches the Rfam family "Bacterial small subunit ribosomal RNA", at positions 28 to 351 of the family's 1533-position model. The record is from RNAcentral. Lineage: Bacteria; Bacillati; Chloroflexota.